This 735-nucleotide ribosomal RNA is filed under the name uncultured bacterium. Its description in RNAcentral is "bacterial SSU rRNA". It matches the Rfam family "Bacterial small subunit ribosomal RNA", at positions 371 to 1111 of the family's 1533-position model. The record is from RNAcentral.
AUGGGCGCAAGCCUGACCCAGCCAUGCCGCGUGCAGGAAGACGGCCUUAUGGGUUGUAAACUGCUUUUGUAUAGGAUAAAUAUCCUGGACUAGAUUCGGGUUUGAUAGUACUAUACGAAUAAGCAUCGGCUAACUCCGUGCCAGCAGCCGCGGUAAUACGGAGGAUGCAAGCGUUAUCCGGAUUUAUUGGGUUUAAAGGGUGCGCAGGCGGGUCAAUAAGUCAGUGGUGAAAUCCUACAGCUUAACUGUAGAACUGCCAUUGAUACUGUUGGUCUAGAAUUUAGUUGAAGUGGCUGGAAUGUGUCAUGUAGCGGUGAAAUGCAUAGAGAUGACACAGAACACCGAUAGCGAAGGCAUGUCACUAAGCUAAUAUUGACGCUCAUGCACGAAAGCGUGGGGAUCAAACAGGAUUAGAUACCCUGGUAGUCCACGCCGUAAACGAUGAUAACUAGCUGUUGGCGAUACACAGUCAGUGGCUAAGCGAAAGCGAUAAGUUAUCCACCUGGGGAGUACGACCGCAAGGUUGAAACUCAAAGGAAUUGACGGGGGCCCGCACAAGCGGAGGAGCAUGUGGUUUAAUUCGAUGAUACGCGAGGAACCUUACCUGGGCUCGAACGUGUAAUGAUUUAUGGAGAAAUCUGUAUCCUACGGGGCAUAUACGAGGUGCUGCAUGGUGUCGUCAGCUCGUGCCGUGAGGUGUAGGUAAAGUCCUGCAACGAGCGCAACCCCUAUCUU